Molecule: RNA transcript, 1903 nt
Organism: Juglans microcarpa x Juglans regia
Lineage: Eukaryota; Viridiplantae; Streptophyta; Magnoliopsida; Fagales; Juglandaceae
Gene name: NAD-dependent protein deacylase SRT2
Exons: 11
Source: RefSeq, a predicted model, not a curated record
AUUUGAUGUUGGGGAAUUAUGCAACGUGGAAACGGUACCACCCGAUACGUCCAGUGCUUAGAGCUUGUGAUUAGAAACACCACCCUCUCCCCCGCGCGGGCGAAAUAGCCUCUGCUUGUUCUCCAUUUGCUUUGCCAAAUUCCGACCACUUUUGCUGAGAAAGAAACAGAAAUUGACUUCGCGCACUAGAAAUUUGAUUUUCAAAGCCAAUUCCGAAAUGGCGGUGCUCAUGCGCUUCCCUUCCCACCCACCCUUCUUCUCUGCCCUCGGAAGUGCAACAAGUGAAGUGCUGGGGGGCAUUGUGACAGGUGUUGUUCAAUCAAGCAGCAACAAAUGGCAAUCUCCAAGCAGAGGAAGAAGAGUCAUAUUGUUCCGGGGUCCUGUAAAGUCUGUACAAACUUCAUGCCGGGUUUCAAUCCCUGGGACCUCAUCGGGGAGAGAAGAAAAGGUGUCUACAAAUUUUUUGAGGGAUAAGAAGUUAGUUCCUGAUUCAGAUCCUCCUAGCAUCAACGAUGUCAAGCUUUUGUAUCAAUUUUUUGAUCAAAGCACCAAGCUCACAGCAUUGACUGGAGCCGGAAUUAGCACAGAGUGUGGGAUUCCUGAUUAUAGAAGCCCCAAUGGAGCUUAUAGUUCUGGUUUCAAACCAAUUACCCAUCAGGAGUUUCUGCGAUCCAGUCGGGCCCGUAGGCGGUAUUGGGCAAGAAGCUAUGCAGGAUGGAGACGGUUUUCUGCAGCACAGCCUGGUGCAGCUCAUAUGGCUUUAGCAUCUCUAGAAAGGGCCGGCCAUAUAAAUUUUAUGAUUACACAAAAUGUUGAUAGGUUGCAUCAUCAUGCUGGUAGCAACCCGCUUGAACUACAUGGGACUGUAUAUACUGUAGCUUGUCUAGAUUGUGGUUUUUCUUUUAAUCGGAAUUUAUUCCAGGAGCAAGUGAAGGAGCUUAAUCCAAAGUGGGCAGCAGCAAUUGAAAGUUUGGAUUUUGGCAGCCCUGGGUCAGACAAGAGCUUUGGCAUGAAGCAAAGGCCUGAUGGUGAUAUUGAAAUUGAUGAAAAAUUUUGGGAAGAGGAUUUUCAUAUCCCUACUUGUGAAAAAUGCAAUGGUGUGUUAAAACCUGAUGUUGUUUUCUUUGGUGAUAAUGUCCCCAAAGAUAGUGCCGAUAAGGCAAUGGAAGCUGCAAAAGGAUGUGAUGCAUUUCUUGUAUUGGGAUCGUCUUUGAUGACCAUGUCUGCUUAUCGACUAGUCAGUUGCAAGUGAGUUUUCACAGGAACCAGAUAAACAAAAUUUAUGGUUAUUUUCUGUUUGGCUUGGUGGGAUUAAAUCUAUGUGGUCGAUGCAUCCUCCAUGGGAUUAAGUCUGUUUGGUUGAUGCAUCCUCAUGAAUUUAUCAAGCUUCUGCUUAUUUGGGUGAACCUCGAAUAAAGUUCUCUUCACCAAUCAACACUUGUAUAACUGAAAGCUUCACUUUGAAUGGCGUGACCUUCUCAUAAGGGAACUCCAAAAGGCAAUUAAAGAUUCCAUCACUAAGACUGUCUCAUGAAGGCUGUAGUCUGGAAUGUUGUUUCUAUGUGCAUAUAUGGUAUAAUCCCUUCUCAACAUCCUGUAAAGAGGAAAUUAAUUUCAUGCUGGAAGAUACGUUUGGUUUUACUAUCAAUAUUCUGAUUGAGGCAGAUGAAGCUUUUUUUUUUCACCCACCAAUGCAAUUUGCUCCUGGUGUUUUUAAUCUUUAGCUGAUAAGGCUUUUCACAUUGAACUCCACAGAGCUGCUUCUGAGGCAGGCGCUGCUACUGCAAUUGUGAACGUAGGUGUCACGCGGGCCGAUGAUUUUGUGCGCUUGAAAAUCAAUGCCCGAGUAGGAGAGAUCCUGCCAAGAGUGCUUGACUUGGGAUCCCUUAGCAUCCCUGCUCUC